This 242-nucleotide ribosomal RNA is filed under the name uncultured Leptolinea sp. RNAcentral describes it as "partial 16S ribosomal RNA". It matches the Rfam family "Bacterial small subunit ribosomal RNA", at positions 1141 to 1382 of the family's 1533-position model. The record is from RNAcentral. Lineage: Bacteria; Bacillati; Chloroflexota; Anaerolineae; Anaerolineales; Anaerolineaceae.
ACACGGGACUGCCGGUCUUAAGCCGGAGGAAGGUGGGAUGAUGUCAAGUCAGCAUGGCCUUUAUAUCCUUGGGCUACACACACGCUACAAUGGCCAACACAAUAGGUUGCUAAGCCGCGAGGUGGCGCCAAUCCAUAAAGUUGGUCUCAGUUCAGAUUGUAGGCUGCAACCCGCCUGCAUGAAGAUGGAGUUGCUAGUAACCGCAGGUCAGCUAUACUGCAGUGAAUACGUUCCCGGGGCUU